CAUUAGGCGCGUGCGUGCGUGCGUGUUGGUAGAGAGGGGAUUCAGUUCAGGCAUGGCACAAAUUACACUCUUCAAUCUCUCUGUCUGGACUGGGUGGGAUCCGUGAUUUCAACAGAACUAGACUUCACAGCUAUGGAUCCUGACGACAUGGACGAAGAUCAACUGCUUGAUUACGCUAUUCAGAUGAGCAUUCAAGAGUCAUGCCCCAAAUAUUAUUAUCAUCUUUAGAGAGUGAUGAACAUCUGAAGAUCCUAAAGGCUAUUGAUCGAGGCUCAUCCUGACAUGACCCUCCAGCAUGACAAAGCCACCAGCCAUACUGCUCGUUCUGUGCGUGAUUUCCUGCAAGACAGGAAUAUCAGUGUUCUGCCAUGGCCAGUGAAGAGCCCGGAUCUCAAUCCCAUUGAGCACGCCUGGGACCUGUUGGAUCGGAGGGUGAGGGCUAGG
Molecule: long non-coding RNA, 444 nt
Filed under: Salmo salar (Atlantic salmon)
Lineage: Eukaryota; Metazoa; Chordata; Actinopteri; Salmoniformes; Salmonidae
Description: lncRNA (ENSSSAG00000086633.1)
Source: RNAcentral